Molecule: small RNA, 28 nt
Filed under: Bombyx mori (domestic silkworm)
Lineage: Eukaryota; Metazoa; Arthropoda; Insecta; Lepidoptera; Bombycidae
Description: ovarian small RNA-20607
Source: RNAcentral
UACCAUCAGCGGAAUGUCUUCCGGGCGC